This 409-nucleotide unclassified non-coding RNA is filed under the name Hevea brasiliensis (rubber tree). The record is from RNAcentral. Lineage: Eukaryota; Viridiplantae; Streptophyta; Magnoliopsida; Malpighiales; Euphorbiaceae.
UGAUACUGCUGGUCGGAUGCAGGUAAUUUUGUUAGCUGAUAUCUUGUCACUGAGGUUGACUAGUAUUCACCAGUGUUAUAAAAGGGUGAUGUAUGCUUUGCUGGUAAAGAAAAUUUUCUGUUGAUUUCUUUUUCAAAAAGCAGUCAAACCACUUUCAAAAUACAAAUUUGAAAACAUGAUUAGGUAACUUGAACAGAAUCAAUAGCACCUAUUUUAGAUGAUAUAUCCUAAUUAUCUUGGACUUCAGAAAAUGGAUCCCCAGAUUAACCUCAAUUGGAUUGUGAUUAAGACUGGGUUGAGUAUUAGGCAGUGGAUAAAACUCGUGCACAUUAAUUUUCUUCUUCAUUUAGUCAUUAUGAUUUUGAUGAUGCCCUUGCCAUGCAUUUCAGGAUAAUGAACCAUUAAUGAG